RNAcentral lists this ribosomal RNA (492 nucleotides) under uncultured bacterium. RNAcentral's name for it is "partial 16S ribosomal RNA". It matches the Rfam family "Bacterial small subunit ribosomal RNA", at positions 29 to 507 of the family's 1533-position model. The record is from RNAcentral.
AGUGAACGCUGGCGGUAGGCCUAACACAUGCAAGUCGAACGGCAGCACAGUAAGAGCUUGCUCUUACGGGUGGCGAGUGGCGGACGGGUGAGGAAUACAUCGGAAUCUACUUUUUCGUGGGGGAUAACGUAGGGAAACUUACGCUAAUACCGCAUACGACCUACGGGUGAAAGCAGGGGAUCUUCGGACCUUGCGCGAUUGAAUGAGCCGAUGUCGGAUUAGCUAGUUGGCGGGGUAAAGGCCCACCAAGGUGACGAUCCGUAGCUGGUCUGAGAGGAUGAUCAGCCACACUGGAACUGAGACACGGUCCAGACUCCUACGGGAGGCAGCAGUGGGGAAUAUUGGACAAUGGGCGCAAGCCUGAUCCAGCCAUACCGCGUGGGUGAAGAAGGCCUUCGGGUUGUAAAGCCCUUUUGUUGGGAAAGAAAAGCAGCAGGUUAAUACCCUGCUGUUCUGACGGUACCCAAAGAAUAAGCACCGGCUAACUUCGUG